GUGGGGAAUAUUGCACAAUGGGCGAAAGCCUGAUGCAGCAACGCCGCGUGAGGGACGACGGCCUUCGGGUUGUAAACCUCUUUUAGUAGGGAAGAAGCGAAAGUGACGGUACCUGCAGAAAAAGCACCGGCUAACUACGUGCCAGCAGCCGCGGUAAUACGUAGGGUGCAAGCGUUAUCCGGAAUUAUUGGGCGUAAAGAGCUCGUAGGCGGUCUGUCGCGUCUGCUGUGAAAACUGGAGGCUCAACCUCCAGCCUGCAGUGGGUACGGGCAGACUAGAGUGCGGUAGGGGAGAUUGGAAUUCCUGGUGUAGCGGUGGAAUGCCCAGAUAUCAGGAGGAACACCGAUGGCGAAGGCAGAUCUCUGGGCCGUAACUGACGCUGAGGAGCGAAAGCGUGGGGAGCGAACAGGAUUAGAAACCCUAGUAGUCC
RNAcentral lists this ribosomal RNA (430 nucleotides) under uncultured bacterium. Its description in RNAcentral is "bacterial SSU rRNA". It matches the Rfam family "Bacterial small subunit ribosomal RNA", at positions 354 to 796 of the family's 1533-position model. The record is from RNAcentral.